AUCAUUAAUAGUUUAUCUAACCACAAUUUAACCAAUAAUAAAAUAUAAACUAUAAUAUCAUUGGUCAUCUAGCAUUAAUUAGUAAUAAAUUUUACAUAGAAAAUUGAAAACGUCAAAUAAUUUGGAACAAAAAAAUUCCUCUAAAAUGUCAUAUAUAAAAAAAAGGAGGGAGUAAUAAAUUAAAAAAAAACACUGCUGAAAUGUUUAUCAUUUACACGUAGGAGUGAGAACUGAAAAGUGUGAUAAAAAAUAAAGGAAAAUUACUCAAAAUAAAGAAGAAGGAGACAAACGGAAAGCAAUAAAAAGCAGUUUCGCUUUAUCAUCGGAAGCUUGAGUCCACCACACCACUCCCAAUCACGUUGAUUAUCAUCAAAUAGACAUUCGCCACAUCAUUUCUGUCUUUUGUCCACUUGUCUGAAAUCAAACUACUACUUUGGUCUUUUUAUAAAUUUACUUUAUUAAUAAGUUACUGUAAUACAAUUUUUAAAAGAGAUUAUAAAUCAAUAAAAUGUCGAGAGAGACGUGUACUGAGCUAACAGGUAGGCUACGGUGCCUUUAGGCUCCAAAUGUGUGCAGCCCUUUUCCACCCUUUUCCCAAAUAGGUCGGAUUGAUAAGCAACUCCA
This 624-nucleotide long non-coding RNA is filed under the name Brassica rapa (field mustard). Its description in RNAcentral is "long non-coding RNA (BRAP_LNC005533)". The record is from RNAcentral. Lineage: Eukaryota; Viridiplantae; Streptophyta; Magnoliopsida; Brassicales; Brassicaceae.